This 253-nucleotide ribosomal RNA is filed under the name uncultured bacterium. Its description in RNAcentral is "partial 16S ribosomal RNA". It matches the Rfam family "Bacterial small subunit ribosomal RNA", at positions 524 to 776 of the family's 1533-position model. The record is from RNAcentral.
UACAGAGGUCUCAAGUGUUGUUCGGAUUCAUUGGGCGUAAAGGGUGUGUAGGUGGCGCGCUAAGUCGGGUGUGAAAUUUCGGAGCUUAACUCCGAAACUGCAUUCGAUACUGGCGUGCUUGAGGACUGGAGAGGAGACUGGAAUUCAUGGUGUAGCAGUGAAAUGCGUAGAGAUCAUGAGGAAGACCAGUGGCGAAGGCGGGUCUCUGGACAGUUCCUGACGCUGAGGCGCGAAAGCUAGGGGAGCAAACGGG